UACGUAGGUGGCAAGCGUUGUCCGGAUUUAUUGGGUUUAAAGGGUGCGUAGGCGGCCCUGUAAGUCAGUGCUGAAAUACCCCAGCUUAACCGGGGGGGGUGGCAUUGAUACUGCAGGGCUUGAGUACAGAUGAGGUAGGCGGAAUUGACGGUGUAGCGGUGAAAUGCAUAGAUAUCGUCAAGAACACCGAUAGCGAAGGCAGCUUACUGGGCUGUAACUGACGCUGAUGCACGAAAGUGUGGGGGAUCAAAACAGG
RNAcentral lists this ribosomal RNA (256 nucleotides) under uncultured bacterium. RNAcentral's name for it is "partial 16S ribosomal RNA". It matches the Rfam family "Bacterial small subunit ribosomal RNA", at positions 524 to 776 of the family's 1533-position model. The record is from RNAcentral.